AGAAAAUUGUCCGUAAACGGCUGGAAGCCUUUGGAAAUUGUUGUUACUGUAUAAUUCUGCAGUCUGUAGAGAAGAAGUCUGCGGCGUUUGAUUCUGAAGCCAUGAACCUUGGGUCAUAAAUUGUGUCUUUGAUUUUGUUUCCCCGUCGUACAAUUCAUGAUGCGAAGGAAUUUGAUGUUGAUGAUGAGUGUCGAUUGUGUUAUUGUUAACACCUAGUGAAAACGGUGUUUGUAAAUAUUCAGACCAUUUGAUUUCUUCCCUCUCCGAUUUUCCCGUACAGUCUGCUGCUGCAGUUGCGCCCGCUGAUCCCCAAGCGAAAGCGGCUGCAGCAUUGUUAUCGAAGAAUGAACAGUUACUUUGUAAUUCGAUACUGUUACUAGUACCAUUACUAUUGUUGCUGCCAUUGCUGCUGAUCGU
RNAcentral lists this unclassified non-coding RNA (417 nucleotides) under Hevea brasiliensis (rubber tree). The record is from RNAcentral. Lineage: Eukaryota; Viridiplantae; Streptophyta; Magnoliopsida; Malpighiales; Euphorbiaceae.